GGAAACCCAAAGGUCCAUCAUACAUCAAAAUGGCCAUGCUUCCCCAAGUUACUCAACCAGACCUUUUACAUCUUAUCAAUGGCCUCUCUCUCUCUCCUUCCAAGGUUCAAAUCCCACCUAAUGAAAAACCCAAACCUCCUCUCUCCUCAUCUUCCUUUUCUUUCCAUUAUUUCAUAGAACAGUCCCCGGAUCUUCUUCGAAACCUCGAACAAGAAUAUUAGAGCCACUACCAAAGGGGUCUCUGUUAACAUGAGUUUCAACCCCAUGAAAUUCUAGAACAAGAGACCUCAAUUAGAACCCAAUCUCCUUUUUGUUAGAAACGCUAUGACUAUUAUUGUCAUGCUUUUUAGUAGGUCAGCAGCAGGAAUCCAGCUUGAGAUACAACAUUGACAACAUCAACCGCUAACUGCUCAUGCCCAAGCCUGAUUUCUACCGAUCUCAAUGAAAAUCUAGACGCAGAUCUCGAAGAUUUCAAUGCAGAUAUAGAAGCAGAGUCAUGCUCAAGGUCUAUCGUUACUGGAAACUAGAUCUCGCCCACUCUCUCAGUCAUUAGCUAUGUUUUGGUCAUCUCAAUCACGCACAAUGGAUGGUGGAGAUUAAUCAUUCCUCUCUAUGUGCAAAACAAUGGAGGACUUAAGCCGAUGAACUGUUUAUCUCCACCAUCUGUUGUUCAGUAUGGAUGGUGGGGAUGACAUAACAUUUUCUUGAGGUAGUUGGAAGAUGGGGAGAAGUGUUUUCCAUUUAGUAAACAACGUUAUGGUUGGUGUGUAUUGUAGCUUUAUUGUAA
Molecule: long non-coding RNA, 787 nt
Filed under: Amborella trichopoda
Lineage: Eukaryota; Viridiplantae; Streptophyta; Magnoliopsida; Amborellales; Amborellaceae
Description: long non-coding RNA (ATRI_LNC004524)
Source: RNAcentral